This 119-nucleotide small RNA is filed under the name Pseudomonas saudiphocaensis. Lineage: Bacteria; Pseudomonadati; Pseudomonadota; Gammaproteobacteria; Pseudomonadales; Pseudomonadaceae. The record is from RNAcentral.
AGAUUAUUUUUUUGGGUAUUGGUUUAGCCGCAGGCGCGUCUGAUACCCCAACAGGCGCCCCAGCAAACAGGGUCGCCACCAACGUUUUUCCAAACCCCGGUCGGCUACCCGACCGGGGU